Long non-coding RNA from Thalassophryne amazonica, 114 nucleotides. RefSeq lists it as uncharacterized. The transcript has 3 exons. The record is from RefSeq and is a predicted model, not a curated record. NCBI's taxonomy places the organism in Eukaryota, Metazoa, Chordata, Actinopteri, Batrachoidiformes, Batrachoididae.
UUCUAUGACAUUGGCCAUCAUCAUUGAAGGGAUACAUGUUUGCUGCAAGUUUGAUGAAUCUGUCUGAAGUCCUUGGAAAGUUAUUGAGAGUACAGUCUUCAUCACACAGUUACU